UACAGAGGGUGCAAGCGUUGUUCGGAAUUAUUGGGCGUAAAGGGCGCGUAGGCGGCCUGCUAAGUCGAACGUGAAAUCCCUGGGCUCAACCCAGGAACUGCGUCCGAUACUGGUUGGCUUGAAUCCGGGAGAGGGAUGCGGAAUUCCAGGUGUAGCGGUGAAAUGCGUAGAUAUCUGGAGGAACACCGGUGGCGAAGGCGGCAUCCUGGACCGGCAUUGACGCUGAGGCGCGAAAGCCAGGGGAGCAAACGGG
Molecule: ribosomal RNA, 253 nt
Filed under: uncultured bacterium
Lineage: Bacteria
Description: partial 16S ribosomal RNA
Rfam family: Bacterial small subunit ribosomal RNA
Source: RNAcentral